RNA transcript from Astyanax mexicanus (Mexican tetra), 2801 nucleotides. RefSeq lists it as uncharacterized. The transcript is spliced from 7 exons. NCBI's taxonomy places the organism in Eukaryota, Metazoa, Chordata, Actinopteri, Characiformes, Acestrorhamphidae. The record is from RefSeq and is a predicted model, not a curated record.
ACGAACCUGUGACCUCCCGCUCAUAGUGGCAGCGCAUUAGACCGCUGGACCACUCGGCGCCCUGGGCAGGUAAUCUAAGCUCUAAUAUUAAUAUAUAUCGAAACCGUACCGAUACCGUGGCCCAAAAACCGCUCUAAUGAAGUGUCAACCGGUGGAUUAAAUGUAAUGUGGUGCCCAUGUACAACUUCCGGCGCCGACGCGAGUGGCUGCCUGUUCCAGUAACUCCGUCUCCUUUGUGUGUUUUUUUUUCUUCAAGUUUUUUACGUUUAUUUAUCGUCUCUGUGCUACUACACACAUCUAGUGUGCAUCUUAUUUAUAUCCUAAGGAUAUUUUAAUCGUAAGCAUGCGGGGCAGCAAGGAAUAUCGGGUUUAUUCCCGUGAAGAACUGCUGGCUCUACGACCCGCGGGACGUGGGGGCAUUGUUCACACAAUCCUGGGGAAACUGAGAAGGAAAUACCGCGGUUGCAGGGCCGGAGCUAAGCUAAAGGCUAAGCUAACGGCUAAGAGGACGGAGAAGCGCUGGAGGUACAAACCCUCAGUUCCGUCGGUGGUUAUGGGGAAUGUAAACUCACUGACCAACAAAACCGACGAGGUAGCCUGUCUGGUGAAGAAUCAGAAGCUCUACAGGGAGUGUAGCGUGCUGUGUUUCACCGAGACCUGGCUCACCCCCGACACGCCGGAUGCUAACGUGGAGCUACCCGGCUUCUCUACAGUGAGAGCGGACAGGGACCCGGCGCUAUGCGGCAAGCGGAAAGGUGGGGGGAUCGCGCUCUUCAUUAACAACAGAUGGUGCAACCCUGGACAUGUAAACGUGAAGGAGGUGAUCUGCUGUCAGGAUAUUGAACUUUUAGCGGUGAGUCUCCGACCUUAUUACAUGCCGCGGGAGCUUUCUCACACGAUCCUCGUCUGUGUUUACAUUCAGCCGAGAGCGGACGUGCAGGCGGCGUGUGACGUCAUCCACUCCACCGUCGCAGCGCUGCAGACCCAGUACCCUGACGCCUUCUAUGUGAUUACUGGAGAUUUUAUUCACGUAACGCUGGACUCUACCCUGCCUGCCUUUUUCCAGUUUGUGGACUGUCCAACCAGGAAUAACAGAACCAUAAACUUGCUGUAUGCUAAUUUGAAGGAUGCAUACAGGGCUAUUCCACUACCACCGCUGGGGAAAUCAGAUCACAACCUGGUCUUCCUGCAGCCUCAGUACAAACCACUGGUACUGAGGCAGCCCACUACCACACGCUCAUUCAGAGUCUGGUCUCCUGAAGCAGAGGAAGCCCUAAGGGACUGCUAUGACACCACUGACUGGAGCGUGCUGCUGCACCCACAUGGCGAGGACAUUGAGGGGGUGACUCACUGUGUUACAGACUACUUGAAUUCCUGUAUGGAUGUUGCUGUUACCACAAAGACUGUAUGCUGCUUUCCAAACAACAAACCCUGGAUUACCAGUACCGUCAAGGACCUCCUCAACCAAAAGAAGAGGGCGUUCAAAGAUGGAAAUCUGGUAGAGCUAAAGCGCGUACAGAGGGAACUCAAGGUACGUCUUAAAGAGGCCAAGGAGUCUUACAGGAAAAAGGUGGAAAGAAAGCUGCAAGAUAACAACAUGAAGGAGGUCUGGGGUGCUAUGAAAACCAUCACUGGGUGCAAGAACAACAACGGCAAUCCAGUAGAUGGGGGUGUGGACAGAGCAAACCAGUUUAACAACUUUUACAACAGAACCAAGAAACUGCAACAAGUUUUUUUCAAGUUCUUGCCACCAUCUACAGGGAUGAGAGAGAAUAUUCAAGGAAGAUCUAUGAUGUUGGCAACACUGAGCAUCUUAUUGAAACAGCAUCGGCAGAACAACUUGGAUAUGUUGUUGUGAGAAUUCUAAAAUUCAACCCACAAUUUCAGGAAUUUAUUGACGUAGAUAGGAAUGUAGACAUCAGGAACUUAGAUAGAUUCCAGCUGUUCUUAUCAUGCAAAGAGACUGAAUCAUCUCAACCUAUGGCCACUUCAGUGUCCCAAGCUCAGCAUACUCAAGUUUCACAAGAGCAUGAAAAACUGUGGUCCAUUUUGGAAAAGAAAGCAACAAAGACACUUGAUGAACUCAAAACCAAAGGCACUGUGACAGAAAAAGCAAGAAUAAAGCUUGUUAAAGUGUGCGGAUCUGACCUGGUGGAAAAGCAUGGAUUUACUGAAAAAGUGGCUCUAGCAAAGAACAUCAUCGCUGUCUUCCCUGAGAGUCCAGGUGGAUGGAAACGGGGAAGGAUUUGAGCACUUUUACGAUCCAGAUUCUCAUUCUGGAUUUUUGGAAAUGAGACUGCGAAACAUUCGUCGAAAGCUAGAAGAUGGUCAGCGGCGUUAUAGGUCACACAAACGACGCUGUGAAGAUGGUCCUAAUCCGGACAAGGAGGAGGAAGAUGGUAGUGGGACAAGUGAGUGGAUCAACUUGAUGAAAAGGCUCAGGCCUUCUACAGACAACAUUUCAUCGAUCAAAGCAGCAAUGCAGAAAACCUUCACCUGGCGCAGAUCAUGGAUAGCCAAACAUUCCCCCUCCCUGUCUGAAAUCUUUGAGGAAUACCUACGCUUCUUGGAUAUGCCAACUCUGCUUGAUACAGAGUUUGGUAAAAUGUUUGAGGGAAAAGGAGAUUUGUUCUUAAGAAGAUGGGAGGCUACCAUCAUUCCCAAGUUGAAGGCAAUUGCCAUCAUGGAGACAGGUGAUCUUGCAUCUCUUAAGGACAUGGAAAACCAGAAUGAAGAUGAGAAGUGUUACACUAUGCUUGUAGUCCUUACACAUCUUCUGCCACCAGUUGCAAUGAGUCGAU